Molecule: ribosomal RNA, 253 nt
Filed under: uncultured bacterium
Lineage: Bacteria
Description: partial 16S ribosomal RNA
Rfam family: Bacterial small subunit ribosomal RNA
Source: RNAcentral
UACGAAGGGGGCUAGCGUUGCUCGGAAUCACUGGGCGUAAAGGGUGCGUAGGCGGGUCUUUAAGUCAGGGGUGAAAUCCUGGAGCUCAACUCCAGAACUGCCUUUGAUACUGAGGAUCUUGUGUACGGGAGAGGUGAGUGGAACUGCGAGUGUAGAGGUGAAAUUCGUAGAUAUUCGCAAGAACACCAGUGGCGAAGGCGGCUCACUGGCCCGUAACUGACGCUGAGGCACGAAAGCGUGGGGAGCAAACAGG